AUGGGGAGUCGAAGACAACAUAGUGUCAAGUACUUUGGUCCAAACUUGAGAAAGCCAUCCAUAAGCAAGGCACCAGGCAAACUCAAGAAAAAGUGCCUUGAACAAUUUAAGAGAACUCAGCAGUCGUUUAGGGUGGCGUAUGAUGAGCCUAGCCAUGCUAAGGCAGCGUCUCGUCCAAAUGUCUCGUCACGUUCUUCAUGGCCAAACAAAGGUACGGCUUCACCACGGGGAAAUGUCGAGAAGUCUGAGCCCUCUUUCUCUAAGACUCUCCAAAAGAAUACCCAAAAGGCUAGUCCAUCUCGCGCAGUGCCUAGCGCAAUGCCUAACAAUGGCAUUGAUUCUUUGCAAAAGAAUACUACCAAGUUUAGAUCCUCUCCCUUUAUGUCAAAUAGUGGUAAUAGCUCGAGGCCAAACAAUGGCAUGGGUUAUUUGGCGAAGAAUGUGGAGUCUUACUCAAGGUUAAAUGACGUUGAAGUUCCUCCGUCAAAGAAUACAAAGAUGUCAGGAUCCUUUUACUCAAUGCCCAAUGAUGAGAUCGCUCCUCAAUCAAUGAAAGCUAGGCCCUUAUCCUCUGGGUUGAAUUGUGUGUCCGCUUCUUUGGCAAGGAACAUAGAAAAGUCUAAGCUCUCUGCAGGUUCAAAUUCCACAUUUGGUGUUUCAAAGAAAUUGUAUCCCUCUUCAAUGGUUCAGAACUCACGAAAAGAAGACCAUCCGAUGGCGAUGGAAGGUACAAAUUCCAACUCAGCUUUGAAGGGUAAAAAAGUCAUGGAAGAUAUCUCGCCCAACUUGGAGAUCAAUUUACCUGGUAAGAAACUUUCAAAUCACCAAACGGUCGAGGCAUCAUGCAUGGUUGAUUCAAUCGACGGGUGCAUUCGACUUGAUAGUAGAAAGUGCAUGUCUAGCCUUUCGGAGCAUGGAAGAACCGAUGUGUACAAAUCUAAGAGUAAGAGGAUGGAGCCGUUGUUGGAAAAAAGGUUUGAGGCACGUGGGGUCGCUAGAUUGAAAAAAUCCAUUAAUAAACUUAACAGUGAGAACACUAGCCUCAGGGAGGAUGAAAGGACCGUUGAUGACAAGUUUAAUAAGAGGAAGAGGACUGAGAAUUGUAGUCAAACAAACAAAAAGAGUAGAUUUGUAGUAAUUGAUGAUGAAGACGAUGAUGAUGGUGAUCAGAAUCUCACUGGUAGUAAAAGUGGUGCCGCUGGAUUGAAAACACAGAAUUAUGGUUCCGAACCUUCGAAGCCACAUCACUAUUGUUCCCUGCCCAUCGAUGAACCUAUUUGGAGUGGAAGCAUUAAGAUAGGCAGCGGAAAAUUUGUUUCGUUGGCUGCACAUUUGUCAACCAAAUACUGUGAGAAGGUGUGGAAUUUGUCAAGAUCACUUGAGCCAGUGGUUGAAGUAACAAAGCUUUCUAGACUGGAGGCUUGGCCUAAGAGCUUUGAGGCAUCAAGGCCCACUGAUGACAACAUUGCGUUGUAUUUAUUGCCCACCGAGAUGAGGCAAGAUGCAGACCUGGAUCAACUUGUUAAAGAAGUCGUGGAGAAUGAUAUGAUCCUACGAGCUAUUGUUGGUGAAGCUGAGAUGCUGAUAUUGCCAUCUAUUCUACUGCCUGAGCAACACCAAACUUUCCAAGGAAAACCCUACCUGUGGGCGGUAUUUAAACGCAGAAUAGUGGAAGAGGAACAACAUGGCAAAGGACGCUGUGCACAGGAGAAAGGAAAACAACAGGCUUCACAUUUCAGUGUGGGAGAAGGGUUAAACAUGGAAGCUGGACUUGAAGCUUCUGAGGAACCGGAGAUGCAAGGCAUGGAGCAGGAACAAAAUCCCAAGUUGGCUGGACCCAACGCGCCGAGUCCUACAACUGAAGCUCCUACCGCGGCUGCAGCUACAAUGUCUGCCAACCACUGUCAAGACCACCCAAACAUGGCUGCUCCUACAGGAGCAUUGUUUGGCUUUGUGGUUCAGCGAACUCCGCGACUCGAGCAACUCAUCCAAGAGAUGCAGCGCGAAGGUGCUGUGAUGGUUGCAAUGCAAGGGCAGAUGAUAGGGCCAGGUCUUGGCAUGGGCAGGCAGUAG
RNAcentral lists this ribosomal RNA (2073 nucleotides) under Triticum aestivum (bread wheat). RNAcentral's name for it is "partial small subunit ribosomal RNA". Lineage: Eukaryota; Viridiplantae; Streptophyta; Magnoliopsida; Poales; Poaceae. The record is from RNAcentral.